This is a non-coding RNA of Zootoca vivipara (common lizard), 4358 nucleotides long. NCBI's taxonomy places the organism in Eukaryota, Metazoa, Chordata, Lepidosauria, Squamata, Lacertidae. The record is from RefSeq and is a predicted model, not a curated record.
CCUCUGGCUGCAGAGCCGACAAGAAGAAGUUAUUCUCCUGCAUGCUGGCUGGUGGGCCAGGCGCGCACGUGAAAAACAGCCCGGCUCUUUCCCCGGGUCAACCCGCCCCUUCCCCGCGCCUGCCAGGAACUCUGUGUGGGCCGAGGGGAAGUUCCUCGCGAGGGCUUGGGGCAGCCCUUCCUCUUCUCUGCGCCCAAGCGGCGCGUUGACACGCCAGGAACUACUGCUCGUCCUCCCCACCCCCAGAUUUCUUUAUGUGAUCAUCAGGCAGCAUCACAAGAUCUGACUGCUUCCAGAUGGCGACCUUUUUGGGUGUCAAACAUGCUGACUGACAUAAGAGAGGAUAAAACUGGUAUUGCUGCUUGUUACUCCUUGAAAGUAAAUGCCAAGUAAGUGCUCCAUAUUCACAAGCAGCAUAAUGUUAGAAGAACAAACAUACAAUAUCAUGGCUCUUUUGUGAAUUGGGACCCUGCAGUUUUUUCUGGUCACAGAAGGAAAAAAAGGUGAUCUCUUCUGGCAUCAUGAUUAUAUGAGCAGACCACUCAUGUGAAUGGUAAGUUUGUGGGGAGCCAGCCACUUGCAGUGCCGUCUGCACCAGAUCUCAAAAGUAACCUCACAGUGACAGAUCUCACAGUGACAUGAAAGUUACUGUGCUGGUCCGUAUUAAUCCAGAGGCUAUCGAGAAACAAGAUUGCUGUGGGUGGCCAAAUCCAAAACUGCAACUAUGGCAUGAUGGUACAUUUCUCACCAUGUUUCCAGGCUGAGCCACUCAUGAAGGACAUGGUCAUACAGACAAGCCUUGAAAGUGUUGCUUUUAUGCUUUUCUAUCGCUCCCUUGUGCUAGGGGGAGACUACCACAGGACAAGUAAACAGUUCCCUGGGGCCAGUUCUGCAGGACAGAUAGACAACACAGUAAACGAGAGCAGAAGGAGAAGGGGUGGGGGGAACUGACAACAAUGCUUUUUCUUUUAGGACUCUCUGGGUGGCAGAGCAGAAGGGGCCAAAAUUCACUGGUAGGAGCAAAGGCCCCUUCCUCUGUUGUGUGCUAGCAGCGCCCCCCCCCCAAAAAAAUUGGAGGUUGUUGUUCUAAGACUGCAGCAAUCGAAGGGCCCUCAGUUGAGUUAUGUGACUCUGCAAUGUUGGCAUGCAAGUUUUAAAAUCAAUUUAAUCUGCAUAGUUAAGUUUCUAAAGACAUUUUGAUAAUUUGGUAGCUCUACCAGAUUGAUUGAAAGGAAGCCUAUAAAUGUAAGUAAUAAAUGAUAAGUACGAGGAAAUCUCAGUUUUGGUUCAUUAUUCUGAAGGAAGUAUAUAUGGCAGGAUCACUCAUCUAACAACUAAGGGGAAAGGGCUUCACUUUUCCCAGUGUACGUCAGGGACAGGGAGACCUUGCAGGUCUCCAGUGCAAACCUUGGGGUGAAUGGCUUCCCCUUUACUAAGCAGAGGUUAAAAUCAAGGGUGAAUGCAGCAUCCUGGCCUUCUGAACACUGCAACAAGGAACUGGGAAUUGGUGACACAUCUUGAAAUGAAAAAAAAUCUUCAAGUAGACCAACAGCCUCGGGGCAUUUCUGCAAAGUCACAGCAGAGGCUCCAAUCACAUUUCAGAUUUGGCAUGAAAGCCCCAGGCCCUUUUCAAAGUCAAAUUGAACAACAUUCAAUAGAUGGAGGGGUGGUACAGGUUUGCGUUGAGAGGUGGGAGAGAGGCUGUGCUGCAGUUUGCCCCUUCUCAAUUAAAAAUGUAGGUAGGUGUGUGUGCAGCAGCAGAAAACACACCCUCCAAAGAAUUUCAUUAAAAAAGGGUAGAACAUUGCUGUUGGGAAAAGAAAGGGUUAAUUUUGUUGUCCUUCAAAAAAGAGAGAGGAAAGAACAAAAGUGGGGGGAGAGGCUAGAAUGCUGGAGAAUACCACCUUCUCCCUUGACAUAAACAUAAUAGUAUUUUAGGGCAUUAAAUUUGUCUGCGUGGUGCUGAUUACGCCCACCCUGCUCAGGGAUGGCAACAGGGAUCUUGAAUCAUGCUACAUAUGUUGAGGCCUGCACAUAUGACAUCAUUGACUUGUGACAGACGCCUAUGCAAAGUGCAGUAGACCUCAAGAUCCUCAUCUCUACACCAAAUGUUGCCAGCUAUCUACCCAGAGUCAAUAAGCCUGCCUUGUCCUGCACCAGGUCUUUACCCAGCACUGGAGGAUUUUGGGGCUCUGGGCCAUCCCAGAAAUCUCACCUGUCCAACAGCUCCCAGUCCUCUCCACCCCAGCGGUCCCGGAACUCUUCUGUGUUCAUCCCACCAAUACGGUCAAAGUCAGAUUUGUAGAUCCCAAAGAGGCCAAAGCCAUUCACCUCCCAGUAGCCUGAGAAAAAUGAACCGAGAAUGUUGCCAGGAUCUUGAUAUGGAAGCAAGGCUAUACUUGAGAGCCUAGACAGUUCUGGUCUCCCAUUCAUUUUGCUACCCAAAGAAGCCACUCUGUCCUCUGCUGGCAGCAAAUAUUAUCUCAUGUGGAUUCAAAACAGGUACAGUAUAGAGAUAACUUUAAUUAGAUGAACUUCUGCAAAACCAGGACUUGUUUCUAUUAUUCUUUAUUCAUUGUUUAUAGAAAUUAUAUUGUGUCCCUCCCUUCAGUAGUGAUUUAAGGGCAAGGUACAACAAUUUAAAAUACAAGCACCAAUUAAAACAAAAAAGGAAAAUACAGUGGGGGGGAAAAGCAUUGAUCUAUCUAUUGUUACAAACAACAGGGCCAUGUUGCCCCCAUGCACCACAUGUUCAGUGGGGAGAUGAUUCCACCACUGGGGUGUGAAUUGCCAAGAAGGCCCUCUGGCAAGUCCCAGAUUGCCUGAUCGCAGUCAACGAGGGGACUGCAGAAGAACCUUCCACAGCCAAACCCAAGUGUUCCUUCAGAUCUCCAGGUCCUGAACCAUUUAGGACUUACAUCUAAAACUUUAAACAGGGCCCAGUGACAUACAGUCAGCCAGUGCAGAUCUUUGAGAACCAGUGUUAUAUGGCCUUGUGCAGACAUGUCCAUUAAUACUCUGACUAUUGUUAUUUUGCCCCAAAUGCAGUUUCCAGACCAUCCGCAAGUGCAGUUUUACAUAGAGCUGCUUGCAGGACUUUACUAGUACAGUACCAGGAUUGCUGCAGCUGGGUUAUUCCUGUCCAGGGUUCUUCUGCCCCAGAUUUUCAACACAGUGGCCAAAAAUAUGAAACAGAUUUCAAGUGACAAGUACUUGGCAAAUAAGGGAACGCCUACUACACAAAGUCCAGAUAGCCUGAAGAUGUCAGAUAAAACAUAUGGACCCAUUGACACAAUAAUAAUUUAAUAACACCAGGUAUUGAAAACCAUAACUUUGUUGUAUGCUCUCUCUCUCUCUCUCUCUCUCUCUCUCACACACACACACACACACACACACACACACACACACACCCCUGCUGUUUUCUACUGCUGAAACAUCCACACACAUGCUGAAUCUCUCUCCACAGUCUCUUUUGGCAAUGUUACUAUUCAGGGCUUUUCUUGUCAAAACCAUUUAGAGAAGAGCAGCCAAGUCAGGUUUCCCAGCAGGAGAGUCAGAGCCCAAGACUCCUGGAUUAUUUUCUGAAUUUGUGGUACACCCCUCAGGCAAAUGGUCUGGCCUUUCUCCGCUGGGUUGCAAAGGGGAUACAAAACUUCCCUGAUGGAGCCACAAGAAGUUUGAGUUGAAGCCUACAGAGCAGCUGAAUUGCUGCAUGUUAUUUCUGCUCUUGCUUAAGAGCAACGAGAGUGAAGUUUUAAGGACGGUUUCAGAUAAGAGGUUUUUAUUUAUUACUAUUUAUUUAUGAAACGUACAUCCCGCUCUCACACAGGGUGGUGCACAGCAAUAUAAAAACAUGUUUUAAAAUAAUUUUUUAAAAAACACCGAAAGCGGUACAGAACAAUCAUUAAAACAACUGGCUACACAAGAAAGUUUUAAGCAGCUGCAUAGGCCUGUUGGCAUAACAGUUCUUCGGGAGACUUCCAAGAAAAUUAAAAGUGAGGGUGGCUUGCCAAAUCUGUGCUGGAAGAGGGCUCCACAGCAUUGGACGGGCGACACUAAAUGCCCAACGUCUAGUUGAGGCCAAUUGGGGGACAAUUAACAGCACUCAUGCAGGUGAUCUCAGUGAUCACUGUUGUGUCUGUAGGCAUCCUGUAAGAGGGCUAGAUGGGAACAAGGGCACAAUUAUUGUGCCAGCAGCUUGGCUAUUUAACUAACUUUUGCUGCCCAACACUAAGCUGGCUGUGUGAGGAAUGUAGCCAUGCUGCCUCAUUCUCAUGCAAGCAGCCUCAUUCAGACAGUCAUUCAGUCCAGCCUCCUCCACUUCCUCAGCAGCCAGACGUGUUUCACUUACCAUUGGG